AUCGACCCGCUAGUAUGCAAGGCACCACCCUUUUCACUCGCUCUGUUCCUCUGGUUUGUAGCACUCUUCUUGCGAAACUCUACUGAAUUCCAAUGUGCAAGCAAAGAGUUCCAAAUGAUUUCGCCCAUCCAGUAAGGGCGCUCCCCUGCAAUUCGGGCAUCCCUAAACAUCUCUGAGAGCCGAUGAGAUGCUUUCAUGUGAAAAUUUCUAUGUAUUUGACUUUCAUGUUCAGCUUUCCACUGC
RNAcentral lists this long non-coding RNA (243 nucleotides) under Vigna radiata. RNAcentral describes it as "long non-coding RNA (VRAD_LNC018034)". Lineage: Eukaryota; Viridiplantae; Streptophyta; Magnoliopsida; Fabales; Fabaceae. The record is from RNAcentral.